RNAcentral lists this ribosomal RNA (885 nucleotides) under uncultured bacterium. Its description in RNAcentral is "bacterial SSU rRNA". It matches the Rfam family "Bacterial small subunit ribosomal RNA", at positions 505 to 1397 of the family's 1533-position model. The record is from RNAcentral.
GUGCCAGCAGCCGCGGUAAUACGUAGGUGGCAAGCGUUGUCCGGAAUUACUGGGUGUAAAGGGAGCGUAGGCGGGAAGGCAAGUUGAUUGUUUAAACUAUCGGCUCAACUGAUAGUCGCGAUCAAAACUACUUUUCUUGAGUGAAGUAGAGGUAAGCGGAAUUCCUAGUGUAGCGGUGAAAUGCGUAAAUAUUAGGAGGAACACCAGUGGCGAAGGCGGCUUACUGGGCUUUAACUGACGCUGAGGCUCGAAAGCGUGGGUAGCAAACAGGAUUAGAUACCCUGGUAGUCCACGCCGUAAACGAUGAUUACUAGGUGUGGGGGGACUGACCCCUUCCGUGCCGGAGUUAACACAAUAAGUAAUCCACCUGGGGAGUACGACCGCAAGGUUGAAACUCAAAGGAAUUGACGGGGGCCCGCACAAGCAGUGGAGUAUGUGGUUUAAUUCGAAGCAACGCGAAGAACCUUACCAGGUCUUGACAUCCUUUGACCACUUAAGAAGUUAAGUUUUCUCUUCGGAGACAAAGUGACAGGUGGUGCAUGGUUGUCGUCAGCUCGUGUCGUGAGAUGUUGGGUUAAGUCCCGCAACGAGCGCAACCCUUAUGUUUAGUUGCUACGCAAGAGCACUCUAGACAGACUGCCGUUGACAAAACGGAGGAAGGUGGGGAUGACGUCAAAUCAUCAUGCCCCUUAUGACCUGGGCUACACACGUACUACAAUGGCUAUCAACAGAGGGCAGCAACAUCGCGAGAUGAAGCGAAUCUCCAAAAAUAGUCCCAGUUCAGAUUGCAGGCUGCAACUCGCCUGCAUGAAGAUGGAAUUGCUAGUAAUCGCGGAUCAGAAUGCCGCGGUGAAUACGUUCCCGGGCCUUGUACACACCGCCCGU